This 449-nucleotide ribosomal RNA is filed under the name uncultured bacterium. RNAcentral's name for it is "bacterial SSU rRNA". It matches the Rfam family "Bacterial small subunit ribosomal RNA", at positions 29 to 521 of the family's 1533-position model. The record is from RNAcentral.
AGCGAACGCUGGCGGCAGGCUUAACACAUGCAAGUCGAACGGGCGUAGCAAUACGUCAGUGGCAGACGGGUGAGUAACGCGUGGGAACGUACCUUUUGGUUCGGAACAACCCAGGGAAACUUGGGCUAAUACCGGAUAAGCCCUUACGGGGAAAGAUUUAUCGCCGAAAGAUCGGCCCGCGUCUGAUUAGCUAGUUGGUGAGGUAACGGCUCACCAAGGCGACGAUCAGUAGCUGGUCUGAGAGGAUGAUCAGCCACAUUGGGACUGAGACACGGCCCAAACUCCUACGGGAGGCAGCAGUGGGGAAUAUUGGACAAUGGGCGCAAGCCUGAUCCAGCCAUGCCGCGUGAGUGAUGAAGGCCCUAGGGUUNUAAAGCUCUUUUGUGCGGGAAGAUAAUGACGGUACCGCAAGAAUAAGCCCCGGCUAACUUCGUGCCAGCAGCCGCGGU